Long non-coding RNA from Colossoma macropomum (tambaqui), 5251 nucleotides. RefSeq lists it as uncharacterized. The transcript has 8 exons. Lineage: Eukaryota; Metazoa; Chordata; Actinopteri; Characiformes; Serrasalmidae. The record is from RefSeq and is a predicted model, not a curated record.
UUCUUAAAUGUAUAUUUAAAAUGCAUUUAUUUGUGUUGCAUGUCAUUUUAAUUAAGGUUAAAGAUGUAACUAAAUAUACAAAGAAGGAAAUGAAUGAUACCGACCUUCACACAAAAUGAAUGCCAAACUACAUUUUCACAGUGUAUCAUUAUCUACAACACUUGCUUUUGUCCUGUUAAAGGUCCAUUUACCAACAUUUACAGUUAAGAUACUGGAGUACAAAUUCACUUAAAAAGAUACAAAUUCCCUUCAAAAGGUUUCCAAACAGUACAUAAGACAAAGUAUUUUGGCAAUUUCAUACAUUUUCAAAUGUACUUCAUAAAUACAUUUACAUACAUAUAUUUUUCUAUAGUACAUUUCUAUGUGUACUAUUUCCUCCAUAAAUUUUAAUUUUAAUGUAUUUUAAAACUGCAUUUUAAAAUACAUUUACUAAUAUUAUUAACAUAGUGAGGUAAUGUAACCGUGUGUGGUGGAUGAGAUGAAAACUUUGGGAGGACGCAAAGGUGAGGAUGCUGACACAGAGGACACCCCCCCCCCUUGAGGAGAUUAACCAGGUAAGUACCACUAUGCCCAACAAUAUAAUUUCUUACCAGUGUGUAUGUGUGUUCUUAAGAUAGCUUAAUCCAAUUUAGAUGCAUCUCAUAUUACUAAAGGUGUAGAGUAGAUGUAAACCUCAUUGGUGAUGUGUUUGGCGCCUUGACAUCAUCACACAUGGCAAUAUAUUCUGAAAUGCAUUUUUGUGUUUGAAAUGUAUUUUGGCGUGGAUUGCAAUUUAUUUGAAAUUCAAAAGUGAUAAAGUGAUGUAGUGGUGGCGGUGAAGUGACGGUCACUAAUAAAAGUGGCCGCAAAGUGGCUGCUCAAUGGUGGCCGCUAAUAAAAGUGGCCGCGAAGUGGCCACGUCCUGCUGCCAUAAGAGCCGCCACUUGCGUCCGUCAGAUAUCCAACUCCUACGGCAGAAUUUUAGGCUUAAGAUAACAUAAAAUCUGUGUUUCUUUACACUAAAAAGGCGUUUCCUCCACUCCACACUUUAGAACGGCUAGAAACGCCAACCAAAAUACAUUGUCAUUACGUGCAUGUUAACUACAUAAUCUUCAAAGUUUCAUCAUGGCAACGUAAACACUUGAGUUGUGACAACCAGAAAAACAGUCACCGGGCUUCUCCCAGCCUCUAGACUAUCCCCAUGUCUACAAGCCCGCCUGCUAGGCCCUGCCACCCUUAGCAGACGACACCUAAAAACUUGCGUUGUGACAACCAGAAAAGUGAAAGUCCCGGAUUCGUUGUGCACUGUAAAACCGAACAGUACAAGUUAUUAAUUUGGUUGUAAUAACUCAAAAAUAAAAGGAAUAAAUAAAAAUAAAAAGAAGUUAAUGCUCCUCUAUUUUUCUGCAUAAUUUGUACUAAUUUGACAUUUUAAGUUUACAGUGCAAACCACUAAUUUAUUUUUGUCAUUGCACUCAAAUAAUUUUACAGCAAUACCGCCUAACGUCCGUAUGUGCUCCUUCAUGUGGACACGUCCGCCAUGUUUGCUCCACUCGCCUCAGGCUGGAUUAGGUGGUGAAAACUGACAACAAUUUCCAAGUUAUAAUGUGUGAUAUUUUCUUCUCGGAAAUUCGUCGUGGGAGUGCUUGUGAAGACGUUUGAGGUGAAAUGCCAUGUGGAAUGCAGUAAUUUUCUGAACCUGCAAACUUUCUCCUGCCGACCGCCGUGACACUGAUUUUCUCUUUGGGCGCGCUACUUUUUUUGUCGCUGUUACUUUUAUUCUGCAAAGAGGUUAAAUAAUGAAUCUGUUUUAAAGAGUUUGGACAAGUCCAACAAGCAAAGGUUGUGUUAUUCAGCUGAGGCAUUUCUUUGUUGCUCCUCAUCUUUUAACAUGUAACAAGUUAAAGAAAUCCAAUUUCAAAGAUUCCUCCAAUCAAAUGCAUUUGUUUUGGGUUGGUUUGUUUUAUGAGGUCAGGGAGAGCACAGUAUAGUUCACAUAAUGCCUGUUAAAUUAGAAAGCUAACUGACUUAUGUCAAAUGCUUCACUGAUAUUUUUCUUGUUGUUUAUGCAAAUAUUGCUGCCAAGCUAACUUUUCCAUCUUUCUCUCUUAAGGCUAAAACUGAUGCAGCUUGCUGAUGUAUGGAGUUUUCAGUCUGAAACUACGAGUGCUGGUACAGUGAGCAUCAUUUGAGCUAACAUCAUCAGACAACUUCUUUGUACUCCAGACUUAAAUGAUACAGAAAUGGCAAGUCAAAACUUCAUAUUUCAUCUCCAUACCUCCACAGACAUUGUGAGGAAGAUGACUCUAUCUUCACGCCCAGAAUCUGUGGAUGAGCUCAAAACAAUGAUAAAAGAAAAGUUUAAGCUAGACUUUGACUUUUUAUCAUACCAACAUCCAGACUUUGACGGGCAGCUAUGUUCCCUUGUAGACAUUGAGGAACUUCCACAAAAGGCUGUACUAAAAGUUAUACGACCUGAGAGUGAUGCCAGUUCAGUAGCAUCAGAUGACACAAUAAUAUUGCCCCAUGCCAUGACUCCAGACAGGACUGAGUGGUGGCCUCAUUUUUUUUCCAGUGCCCACUUUUUCCUACAAGGUAGAACUCAUACUUGGUGAGGGAGAUGUUGCAUAUGAGAGAACAGGAAAGAUGGUCAAGUUAUCUAGGAACAAAAGCAUGACAUCCUUGAAACCCUUGCAGGCAAGAUGCAUAGCUUCAAAGCAUAGCCCAGUGAUAAGGAAGUGUCAGUAGUAGCAGAAGCCCACUAAGCAUCCCUGUCUUAAAGAGCCAGGAUCCCAGACGGGAUGGUAUGGUUGGAAAAAUAGUCUCAAGUUUAAGUUGGGGGACAAUUGCAGUAAGUUGAGUUGGGCUGGGUUUCAGGAGAUAGCCGUGAAUUCUGGGAAGAGGAGUAGAAACAACCCAGACGAACAAGCUCGUCACACUAACAUCGAGAGACCCAAGAGGGCAAUAGUGAAUUUCCUCCCUAAUUUCCCAAGAGGGGAACGUACCAGAAGCCUUGAACAACUGAGACUGAAAAUUGUAGAUGAAGUUAAGAAGUGCGACACAAAUAUCCUGUUCUGAUUACAAAGUUAAUGCAGACCACCUUUGCCCUGAGAUGCAAAGAGGUCAUCACUGAAGACCUACCUCUUGGUGAUAUUCUGGAACACUGGCCUGCCCUCAAAAUACAGUCACAGAUUUGUGCAGAGUUUCACAGAAUUACAAACAUCAACCUGAAGAACCACUUCUAUGCUGCAUUGGACCGACAUACCCCCGUCUUCAGAGCUUGUUCAGGAUGAAAGCAAGUUGUGCAGGGAAAGUGUCCCAAGUUCUGGGACAGCUCUUCAGGAUAUAUGAUCUCCAGGAACAAGUUGGCGUUCACGUCAGACGUGCUGCUGUCCUCCAUGCUCUUCCUGCCUAUCUGCAUGAGGAUGACUCCAGCUUUCUGAAGACGUGGAAUGUGAUGCAGUCUGAUGAACCCAGACAUGAAUGACAUGUCAGUUGGGCUCCUCUCAAUCAGUGCCAGUUCAACAGAUGCCACAUUGUUCUGCCCAGAGAGGAUUGCAGUGCUUGAGGGAAGCAGGUGGAGCUCACUUGUUAACAAAGCAUAGGAAUAUAUGCCAUGGAGACUCUCAUCUUAUAUCUUAUCCAACAUCAAACAGGUGGCAGUUCGUCCCCAGCACGCAGACAUAUAUUAUGAAGGAUAGCGCAUGAAGCAACUACUGUUGGCACGAAGGAGGGGUGUACUUCUAAAGCCUGCAAGAAGAUGGAGCGCCACCGGGUCUUCAUGAUUCCAAAAGCUCUCUCAAUCACAGAACGAGAUUUUGAAUGGUACAUGUUGAACACUUUCUGUUGUUCAUUCCACAGUGGUCGCUUGUAUGGGGUAAUCAGAGCAAGGGGCCUCUCAAGACAGGGAUAUCCUCCAUCUCCCAGAAGAAAGUGCCAGCAGAGGGGUAGAGCCCAUUGCGAAAAAGGGGACUAUGUUUUAGGACCCUAGCGUCGUGUACAGAACCAGGAAAUCCAAUGUACACAUUUAGGAAUCUGGCCUGGUGGUCACAUACAGCCUGGAGAUGUAUAGAUGUGAAGAGCUUCCGAUUUCUGUAGCACCCAGUAUCUGGCUCUCCCGAGGCUUUUAUGCGGAUAUGACUUUUGGGCAAACCUUUCAAAUCCAGCACCAAUUGCCUGCUGUUCCUCUGCUGUCACUGGCACACAGAUGACUUUGCUCAGGAUAGCCCUCAACUCCUCUGACACUCGGUGGACAAUUCUACAGACAGUGGUCCUGGGUAUGCCGAAUGCCCUGGACACCACCCAAUACGAAGCUCCACUAGCAAGCCAGAACAAAAAUACUAACACUUCAAUGGUGGGUCCCCACCCAUGAUGGCGUUCUUGAUCCAGCAUCCUCAACAAGACGGCCAGGGACUCCCUGUUUAGUCGAAAAUCCGGACGGGUGUCUUGCUCUGUAUUAAAAUACAGAUUGAGGAGUGGAAUGGACUGGUUCAGGGAGCAGUAUCAAGUUACUGGGCCUUCAUUCUGUAAAAGUAGAUAUAUGUUUACAGCAGGAGUGUCUGAUCUUAACCCUGAAGGGCCAGUGUGGGUGCAGGUUUUAUUCCACAAAACAGGAGCACACAUGAUCAACUGUUUGAAGACAGAGACUAAUUGAUUAAACAGAUGGAGUCAGGUGUGCUCCUACUAUUGGAAUGAAAUCCUGCAGCCACACCGGCCUUCUUGGGAGACAACUGAGCACACCUGAUUUACACUGUCUUCUUACUACAGUCUACAGUAUAACUAAUUAGGGUAGAGUGGGGGGAAAGGCCUCUAUGCAUAAAAUGUGUUCUCUGCAUGUUUCUCCUGAGAAGCUUCACGGGUUUGGGGCAAGAGGAUUUGAGGCAAGUUAUUUAUUAGAAACAUUAUGACUGAAAUGAAUUAACCAGCCUCAUAGUCUGUUUUAUUGCCACACUUUAUUUUGCAGUACUUUGUUGCAAUACGGUAAUCUAAAAUUGAAAAAAAAUUAAAUACAACAAAUUUCAGUCUGAGUGCUAUCUUUUAUCAGUGAUUGAUCAGUGCAUGUGGGUGUUGGCAAUUCAGUUUCACAAGUUGCACACAAGUCGGACACAAAUAUAACAUACUUUAUUUUUUGCAUAUUAGUUUAUUUUGGUGACUGUGUGUGAAACAUUUUUUUCCAUAGGGACCUUUUGCCCAAUAGGUGUCGUUUGACCUCUGUAUAAGUUUAUUUUAAAUAAGUAAUGAAUGGUUAUUUCUGUCUCCCUUUUUAUAAACA